This 24-nucleotide non-coding RNA is filed under the name Arabidopsis thaliana (thale cress). Lineage: Eukaryota; Viridiplantae; Streptophyta; Magnoliopsida; Brassicales; Brassicaceae. The record is from RNAcentral.
UAAACAUGUUUUAGGUGAUGUGAU